AACGAACGCUGGCGGCAUGCUUAACACAUGCAAGUCGAACGUGAAGGGGACUUCGGUCCCUGGAAAGUGGCGCACGGGUGAGUAACACGUGGAUAAUCUACCCGAUGGUCUGGAAUAACACUUCGAAAGGGGUGCUAAUACCGGAUAAGCCCACGCCGUCUUCGGAUGGUGCGGGAAAAGGGGGCUUCGGCUCCUGUCAUCGGAUGAGUCCGCGGCCCAUUAGCUAGUUGGUAGGGUAAUGGCCUACCAAGGCUAUGAUGGUUAGCUGGCCUGAGAGGGUGGCCAGCCACACUGGAACUGAGAUACGGUCCAGACUCCUACGGGAGGCUG
RNAcentral lists this ribosomal RNA (330 nucleotides) under uncultured Pseudomonadota bacterium. RNAcentral's name for it is "bacterial SSU rRNA". It matches the Rfam family "Bacterial small subunit ribosomal RNA", at positions 29 to 351 of the family's 1533-position model. The record is from RNAcentral. Lineage: Bacteria; Pseudomonadati; Pseudomonadota.